RNAcentral lists this ribosomal RNA (484 nucleotides) under uncultured bacterium. RNAcentral describes it as "partial 16S ribosomal RNA". It matches the Rfam family "Bacterial small subunit ribosomal RNA", at positions 30 to 507 of the family's 1533-position model. The record is from RNAcentral.
AUUGAACGCUGGCGGCAGGCCUAACACAUGCGAGUCGAGCGGAUGAAGGGAGCUUGCUCCUGGAUUCAGCGGCGGACGGGUGAGUAAUGCCUAGGAAUCUGCCUGGUAGUGGGGGAUAACGUCCUGAAACGGGCGCUAAUACCGCAUACGUCCUGAGGGAGAAAGUGGGGGAUCUUCGGACCUCACGCUAUCAGAUGAGCCUAGGUCGGAUUAGCUAGUUGGUGGGGUAAAGGCCUACCAAGGCGACGAUCCGUAACUGGUCUGAGAGGAUGAUCAGUCACACUGGAACUGAGACACGGUACAGACUCAUACGGGAGGCAGCAGUGGGGAAUAUUGGACCAUGGGCGAAAGCCUGAUCCAGCCAUGCCGCGUGUGUGAAGAAGGCCUUCGGAUUGUAAAGCACUUUAAGUUGGGAGGAAGGGCAGUAAGUUAAUACCUUGCUGUUUUGACGUUACCAACAGAAUAAGCACCGGCUAACUUCGUG